This 66-nucleotide transfer RNA is filed under the name Kuphus polythalamius. Its description in RNAcentral is "tRNA-Leu". Lineage: Eukaryota; Metazoa; Mollusca; Bivalvia; Myida; Teredinidae. The record is from RNAcentral.
GCCAAGUUAGCAGAAUCUUAAUGUUUGCGGUUUAGGUCCGUAAGGUGUGGGUAAUCCACACUUGGU